AGAGCGGACGCUGGCGGCAGGCUUAACACAUGCAAGUCGAGCGGGCGUAGCAAUACGUCAGCGGCAGACGGGUGAGUAACGCGUGGGAACGUACCUUUUGGUUCGGAACAACCCAGGGAAACUUGGGCUAAUACCGGAUAAGCCCUUACGGGGAAAGAUUUAUCGCCGAAAGAUCGGCCCGCGUCUGAUUAGCUAGUUGGUGAGGUAAUGGCUCACCAAGGCGACGAUCAGUAGCUGGUCUGAGAGGAUGAUCAGCCACAUUGGGACUGAGACACGGCCCAAACUCCUACGGGAGGCAGCAGUGGGGAAUAUUGGACAAUGGGCGCAAGCCUGAUCCAGCCAUGCCGCGUGGAUGAUGAAGGCCUUAGGGUUGUAAAGUCCUUUCGACGGGGAAGAUAAUGACGGUACCCGUAGAAGAAGCCCCGGCUAACUUCGUGCCAGCAGCCGC
This 448-nucleotide ribosomal RNA is filed under the name uncultured bacterium. RNAcentral describes it as "SSU rRNA". It matches the Rfam family "Bacterial small subunit ribosomal RNA", at positions 26 to 518 of the family's 1533-position model. The record is from RNAcentral.